This 482-nucleotide ribosomal RNA is filed under the name uncultured bacterium. RNAcentral describes it as "partial 16S ribosomal RNA". It matches the Rfam family "Bacterial small subunit ribosomal RNA", at positions 28 to 507 of the family's 1533-position model. The record is from RNAcentral.
GAUGAACGCUAGCGGCAGGCCUAAUACAUGCAAGUCGAACGAGAUUAAGAGGCUUUCUUCUUAUGGAUGUGACCCACGGGUGCGUAACGCGUAUGUAACCUACCUUAAUCAGGGAGUUAGCCCGCAGAAAUUAGGCGUAAGAACGCAUAAAAACACAGUUGAGCAUUAUCCAACAUUAGAAUAUUUCGAUGAUGAAGAUGGGCAUACGUGUCAUUAGCUAGUUGGAGAGGUAACGUCCGACCAAGGCUACGAUGACUAACGGAGCUGAGAGGAUGACCCCCCACACUGGUACCGAGAUACGGACCACUAUCCGACGGGAGGCAGGAGUAAGGUAUAUUGGUCAAGGGAGGGAACUCUGAACCCGCCAUGCCGGGUGCAGGAAGACAGCCCUCUGGGUCGUAAACUGCUUUUAUUCGGGAAUAAACCUUUCUACGUGUAGGAAGCUGAAUGUACCGAAGGAAUAAGAAUCGGCUAACUCCGUG